RNAcentral lists this non-coding RNA (140 nucleotides) under uncultured Bilophila sp. RNAcentral's name for it is "FMN riboswitch (RFN element)". It matches the Rfam family "FMN riboswitch aptamer (RFN element)". From Rfam's summary of the family: The RFN element is a highly conserved domain that is found frequently in the 5'-untranslated regions of prokaryotic mRNAs that encode for flavin mononucleotide (FMN) biosynthesis and transport proteins. This element is a metabolite-dependent riboswitch that directly binds FMN in the absence of proteins. Lineage: Bacteria; Pseudomonadati; Thermodesulfobacteriota; Desulfovibrionia; Desulfovibrionales; Desulfovibrionaceae. The record is from RNAcentral.
CGUUCUCAGGGCGGGGUGAAAGUCCCCACCGGCGGUAUUCCCCAGAUUCGGGGAGAGCCCGCGAGCGCCCUCCAUGUGGAGCGGUCAGCAGAUCCGGUGAGAAGCCGGAGCCGACGGUAACAGUCCGGAUGAAAGAGAAA